Molecule: ribosomal RNA, 253 nt
Filed under: uncultured bacterium
Lineage: Bacteria
Description: partial 16S ribosomal RNA
Rfam family: Bacterial small subunit ribosomal RNA
Source: RNAcentral
UACGUAGGGUGCGAGCGUUAAUCGGAAUUACUGGGCGUAAAGCGUGCGCAGGCGGUUCGUUGCGUCGGCGGUGAAAGCCCCGGGCUCAACUGGGGAGGGUCACGCGAUACUGAUCGACUCGAAGGCAGGAGAGGGUAGUGGAAUUCCCGGUGUAGUGGUGAAAUGCGUAGAUAUCAGUUAGAACACCAAUGGCGAAGGCAGUCACCUAUCUCAUAAUUGACGCUAAAGCACGAAAGUGUGGGUAGCAAACAGG